CCAUGCCGUCGUGUAUGUAAGAAGGCCUUCGGGUUGUAAAGUACUUUCAGUCAGUGAGGAAGUGGGUAUGUUAAUAGUCAUACUCAUUUGACGUUUAGCUGCAGAAGAAGCACCGGCUAACUCCGUGCCAGCAGCCGCGGUAAUACGGAGGGUGCGAGCGUUAAUCGGAAUUACUGGGCGUAAAGCGCAUGCAGGUGGUUUGUUAAGUCAGAUGUGAAAGCCCGGGGCUCAACCUCGGAAUUGCAUUUGAAACUGGCAAACUAGAGUACUGUAGAGGGGGUAGAAUUUCAGGUGUAGCGGUGAAAUGCGUAGAGAUCUGAAGGAAUACCGGUGGCGAAGGCGGCCCCCUGGACAGAUACUGACACUCAGAUGCGAAAGCGUGGGGAGCAAACAGGAUUAGAUACCCUGGUAG
Molecule: ribosomal RNA, 412 nt
Filed under: uncultured bacterium
Lineage: Bacteria
Description: bacterial SSU rRNA
Rfam family: Bacterial small subunit ribosomal RNA
Source: RNAcentral